This 343-nucleotide RNase P RNA is filed under the name Bacteroidales bacterium 55_9. RNAcentral describes it as "RNase P RNA component class A". It matches the Rfam family "Bacterial RNase P class A". From Rfam's summary of the family: Ribonuclease P (RNase P) is a ubiquitous endoribonuclease, found in archaea, bacteria and eukarya as well as chloroplasts and mitochondria. Its best characterised activity is the generation of mature 5'-ends of tRNAs by cleaving the 5'-leader elements of precursor-tRNAs. Cellular RNase Ps are ribonucleoproteins. The record is from RNAcentral. Lineage: Bacteria; Pseudomonadati; Bacteroidota; Bacteroidia; Bacteroidales.
AUGCAAGCGCGCUCUAUCGCUGUCCGCUUCGGCGGAGGGAGGAAAGUCCGAGCAACGCAGAGCGCCGCACGUGUAGUAGCGUAACAGAAAAUAACCGCCGGCCGCGGCCUGUGCCGUCGGCCGGUAAGGGUGAAAAGGCGGGGUAAGAGCCCACCGCGGAGGCAGCAAUGUCGUCCGGCUGUACGCCUUGCGGGUUGCAAGACCAUGUAUAUCGACAAUUAAGGGUUGCUCGUCCGAUGUCGAGGGGUAGGUUGCUGGAGGCCGCAGGUGACUGCGGUCGUAGAUAAAUGAUAGAGACCCCUGUAAAGGGUGACAGAACUCGGCUUAUAGCGCUUGCAUCUCC